RNAcentral lists this transfer RNA (67 nucleotides) under Acipenser gueldenstaedtii (Russian sturgeon). Its description in RNAcentral is "tRNA-Cys". It matches the Rfam family "tRNA". Rfam says of the family: Transfer RNA (tRNA) molecules are approximately 80 nucleotides in length. Their secondary structure includes four short double-helical elements and three loops (D, anti-codon, and T loops). Lineage: Eukaryota; Metazoa; Chordata; Actinopteri; Acipenseriformes; Acipenseridae. RNAcentral also lists the same sequence under 13 other names. The record is from RNAcentral.
AGUCCCGUGGUGAAGAUCACAUCAGAUUGCAAACCUGAAGACGCGGGCUCGUCGCCUGCCGGGACUU